This is a long non-coding RNA of Phascolarctos cinereus (koala), 314 nucleotides long. RefSeq lists it as uncharacterized. Lineage: Eukaryota; Metazoa; Chordata; Mammalia; Diprotodontia; Phascolarctidae. The record is from RefSeq and is a predicted model, not a curated record.
GGUAGCAGAUGUAAACAGAUAAAUAUGGUGAAUAAGUAGAAUUUGGUAAUCGCAAAAGGAUAUUGAAUUUACCUCAACUUGCAAAUAAACAUUGCGAUGAGAAUUUUUGGAUCAGAACAAAAAUAUUAUCUGCUAGACUUUCACUGUGAAGAAGAUGAGAAUGAAUGGGACCUCUUCCUGGGACAGAUGACAGAUUGUCAAUGAUGUUCUUUGGAUUAUUGGCCAAGUUUUGGCAGCCCAGGGAUCUACUGGAGGUGGCACUGGAAACUGUAAAACCCUGGAAUUACUGCCAAAUGGUCAGCACAGCAUAAAGG